AAAUCUGACUUCAAACUCAUUAACGAUAUGAUCUCAAAGUAGUGGUUCUCAAAUUUGGGUGUGGAUAAAUGUUACUUGGAGAAUUAAAGUACAAAUUCCAGAUUCUUAGCCCCACCUGCCCUGAGAUUCUCGCUCAAGGAAUGGGUGAGGCCUUGGGUACUCCACGUUUAAACAAGCAUGGUGAUUCUAAAGCUGUUCAUCCAAGGAUGUACUUUAAGAAAUACCGUCAGAGGUGGAGCUACCAGAACCUUAUACGGAGUGGUAAAUUAAGCUAUGCAACUUGA
RNAcentral lists this long non-coding RNA (284 nucleotides) under Capra hircus (goat). RNAcentral describes it as "lncRNA (ENSCHIG00010015997.1)". The record is from RNAcentral. Lineage: Eukaryota; Metazoa; Chordata; Mammalia; Artiodactyla; Bovidae.